Patiria miniata (bat star) is the source of this 261-nucleotide long non-coding RNA. RefSeq lists it as uncharacterized. The record is from RefSeq and is a predicted model, not a curated record. The transcript is spliced from 3 exons. NCBI's taxonomy places the organism in Eukaryota, Metazoa, Echinodermata, Asteroidea, Valvatida, Asterinidae.
CCGAUCGCAUCAUUUCGCAUGUCAUGACGGCGGUGCAGAUAAUCCCAAGCUGAUAAAAAUCAACCAGUCUCUAGAAGUUAGUUCUCUCGGUUGGGGAGUUAUUUGGGUGGUAACGAAGCAGUGGACCAGGCAAUCAAUCGAGCACACCAUUGAGACAUGGAUCGACCUCCACUGAUUGACGGAGCUGUGCUGACUUAGAUUGACACCAUUGAUGAUAAAGUGAUGGCAGAUCUACCAGCUCACUUCACAUCAGAGAGCUCU